Molecule: ribosomal RNA, 482 nt
Filed under: uncultured bacterium
Lineage: Bacteria
Description: partial 16S ribosomal RNA
Rfam family: Bacterial small subunit ribosomal RNA
Source: RNAcentral
GACGAACGCUGGCGGCGUGCUUAACACAUGCAAGUCGAACGAUGAAGAAGAGAAACGCGAACUUCGGUUCAACUUUCACCUCGGAUUAGUGGCAGACGGGUGAGUAACGCGUGAGCAACCUACCUCUUACAAAGGGAUAGCCUCGGGAAACCGUGAUUAAUACCAUAUGACACAUUCAUAAGGCAUCUUAAGAAUGUUAAAGCUACGGCGGUAAGAGAUGGGCUCGCGUCCCAUUAGCUAGUUGGUGAGGUAACGGCCCACCAAGGCGACGAUGGGUAACCGGCCUGAGAGGGUGAACGGUCACAUUGGAACUGAGACACGGUCCAAACUCCUACGGGAGGCAGCAGUGGGGAAUAUUGCACAAUGGAGGGAACUCUGAUGCAGCGACGCCGCGUGAGCGAUGAAGGAAUUCGUUUCGUAAAGCUCUGUUCUAUGGGAAGAAAAGGACUGUACCAUAGGAGAAAGCCCCGGCUAAAUACGUG